RNAcentral lists this non-coding RNA (85 nucleotides) under Comamonas sp. BIGb0124. The record is from RNAcentral. Lineage: Bacteria; Pseudomonadati; Pseudomonadota; Betaproteobacteria; Burkholderiales; Comamonadaceae.
GUUUACGGCGGGUCGUGCAGGGACACCCGCCAGGGUGUGCCGGUCCUUAGUCCGGUCGACCAACCUUGCACGGCCUGCCACCUUU